RNAcentral lists this ribosomal RNA (403 nucleotides) under uncultured bacterium. RNAcentral's name for it is "partial 16S ribosomal RNA". It matches the Rfam family "Bacterial small subunit ribosomal RNA", at positions 30 to 526 of the family's 1533-position model. The record is from RNAcentral.
AUUGAACGCUGGCGGCAGGCCUAACACAUGCAAGUCGAACGAGCGGCGGACGGGUGAGUAAUGUAUGGGGACUGCCCGAUAUAGGGGGAUAACUACUGGAAACGGUGGCUAAUACCGCAUACUAUCGGAUAACCCAUAUGGGAUUAGCUAGUAGGUGGGGUAAAGGCUCACCUAGGCGACGAUCUCUAGCUGGUCUGAGAGGAUGAUCAGCACCACUGGGACGGAGACACGGCCCAGACCCCUCCGGAGGCAGCAGUGGGGAAGAGUGCACAAUGGGCGCAAGCCUGACGCAGCCAUGCCGCGUGUCUGAAGAAGGCCUGAGGGUUGUAAAGUACUUUCAGCGGGGAGGCUGUAUCCGCAGAAGAAGCACCGGCUAACUCCGUGCCAGCAGCCGCGGUAAUAC